CUGUUGGUCCCUGCUGCUAUUUCCUUGAUGCCUUGACUCCAUUACCUGCAGCACCUCGUCCGAGGAAGCCCCGGUAUCGAUUUGGAAAAUCACAAUUGAUACUUCCCUGCAGCUCGCUUUCUGGCGAAGAGGGAAACCAACGACCCGCGCUGACGCUUGCUCGCUUCGGGGCCUGGAGCGGGGCGCGCAGGGGGCAGCUUGCGCCGUGCCGCUGUCCCCACGCUCUGCCCGCGUGGAUCUCCAGCCGCGUCCCGCCUCUCCACGGGCCACGCCUGCCGACCCCGUCGCGCGCUUUCUCGUUCGUGUGGAAGGGCAGAUGUGGGGGGACCUGGGUGUUGGAGGCUCGGAGGUCGUAAAAUUGGCCCCAGGUCCGGGCUCUUCCGAAGCCCGGGGCCGGAAGAGCUGGGGCUUGGGCCGCCAGUCCGGGGAGACCUCCAAGCGGAACAGAAGGAGCACCUGCAGACGCUCGAAGCUUCCCCUGGGGAAAAGCAUACGUCGGUAGACACGCUGCGCGGCGCCAGAGCUAACUCUCAGUUUACCGCGCGUCCUGCCUUGGGGGGUGCUGAGGCCCUUGGGGGGAACCCUUGAGAAAAGCAGAGGACGCGGGAGACCUCUGACGCGGGGUCAGGUGGGCCGAGACCCACGAAGGUGGAUGUCUGCUUCCCUACGUCCUGCGUAGAAAAUGAUUUUUAAAAAUUUUAUUUUUGAAAAUGAUUUUUAGUCACACUUGUCGUGGAGGUAGGAAAAGGGAGGGAAGUCAAAAGAAAGGAGGAGGCCGACCUUUAUUUUACAAGAAAAACCCAGGAAAAAUGGAUUGGUCGAAUUGUGGAGUAGGAGGGAGGGAAGGAAGGAUGAAGACUUUCCUUCUUUGUUCUUAAAAGCCCGAGCACUUUGGUUUGUUUGUUUGUUUCCCCAAAUCAAAAUACAGAGAGGCAGUCCUUGUAGGGGCAUGCUUAUGCAAUCGAGAGAUGCUGCUCAUUAAUUAGUUCACUUUUAAAACAUUUGCUGGGCUGAGCAAAGUUUUUAGAAGGUUCUUUCUCAGAACCCAGCCCCGAUGUGAAGCUCAACUCGAUUUAAGGCAGACCUAGGAUCAAAAUUUCAGACGAGGUCAUGCGUGUAUACAUCUGUACAAAAAUACACAUGCCACAGAGUUUGUAUUCCUUCCAGGCUAAGACAAGAGAUUCUAUAGUAAAUUAUACGUGAUGGCUGAGUUUUUUUCUGGUAACCUCUUGUCACCAGAGAGGAGUACUGAGUUAUCUUUCUCUCCAUUCCCAAUUAAUAAAUCUACUGAGAGAGAGAGAACUCUCCUUAUGAGAAUGUGGCUUUCCCCCCCACUCUUUCUGGUUUAAACGUUCUUUCCUACACGUGAACACACACAGAAUAUACAUGAUAAGCAGAGUUUUCCCUAAUCAGCCUGUAAUGUAUGAUCUACAUAAAUCCAUGCCCACUGUUGAGGACUAACUUUGUUCUUCACCAUGUGGGCAUUUCAUCAGGAAUCUUUGGUAGACCAAUAAAACGAUCAUCUUUGCUGUGAAUUUCUUUGUGAUUAAACGGAAAAUAGCAUUAAUGAACAACUCGAACAGUACUUUUUAAUAUCAAAUGUCAACCAGUAAAAAAAAGCCCCAUACUUGUUCCAAAUCUUCAGAAUGAUGGCUUCUCAUUUGCAGUCAUAUUUUGGCAAAACUACUUCAUAUUAAUGGAAAAUUACUAAAAACAGUGCACGCAUUCCAGAUAGAGAGGCGUAUUCACUGAGCUUUACCUCUAGCAACUUAAGCUAUCUGGUUCGAAUUACUUAAGUAGUUUCAACUGAAGGAAGGGCUGGAAAAUUAGGAACUGUGGAAUAAUUUGUGUUUUGGUCUUUUCACGAAGCUUUAAUCAAAUCUGAUUUUUGUGAAAACGAAAACAAUACGAUAAUCCCUUCAGUGAUCUUGUAGAAUAGUGUGUAAUUGUUAUUAAAAAAGAAAAGCGUGCCCAAAGGAUAUUUUAAUGAGAUGAGAUGAAUACAAAUACAACUAUUGCUAAGUUGUUUUUCCAGUUAUUUUUCUCUCACAUGUAAGACAUGUAGGACUCCAGAAUAUGCACUUUAAUGUGUUGUGAUAAUAAGAAAACUAUUGCUGGUUUUCUUAGAGGAGCACUGUUAUCUAGGGGGCAAUGCCAAAAUCAUUAGAUAAGCAUCAUCUUUCCUGUCACAUCAUUGUCUACAUGAAAUUCCAUCUUAGGAAAUAUGCGGGAAUAUUAUGUUUGUUUCAAAAGCUUGAAAAUACAAUAGAAUUUGAAAUAUUGAAAACAUGAUUCUUACUUGACAGUAUCUUUGAAGUUGCAGAGGUAUCUCUUUUUGAGAUGACUUUAAUAAUGACUGACUUUAAUAAUGCUGGAACGUAAGGAAAGAUUUCAACAGCAGGCAAGAUGUGAUGAACGGACACAGGAACAAUGAAGCUAUUGACAAAACAUGCCAACUUUUAGAAUUCUAUUUAAAUUAUUAUUUUUCCUUCUAGUGCAGAGGAAGACGCCCAAGUGCAUCAAUGUUCAUCAGAUGCAGGGUAAUAAAAACGUGAGCGACGGGCAAUGGACCGUGACUGUAAUAUGAUUGUUAGUGUAGGUGGGCGAGUGCCUGUUUAAAGAAGGUUUGCAGUCCUCAAUGGAGGUAGGGGAAGCUUGUAGAAAAUUGAGAUCGUGAAGAAGAGGGAAAGAAGGUUAAUCAAAGAAUAAAGCAAAUUCAGUAAUUAAAAAACUAUUUUCUAUUU
Long non-coding RNA from Prionailurus viverrinus (fishing cat), 2744 nucleotides. RefSeq lists it as uncharacterized. Lineage: Eukaryota; Metazoa; Chordata; Mammalia; Carnivora; Felidae. The transcript has 2 exons. The record is from RefSeq and is a predicted model, not a curated record.